RNAcentral lists this RNase P RNA (310 nucleotides) under Chloroflexota bacterium. Its description in RNAcentral is "Chloroflexi bacterium RNase P RNA component class A". It matches the Rfam family "Bacterial RNase P class A". From Rfam's summary of the family: Ribonuclease P (RNase P) is a ubiquitous endoribonuclease, found in archaea, bacteria and eukarya as well as chloroplasts and mitochondria. Its best characterised activity is the generation of mature 5'-ends of tRNAs by cleaving the 5'-leader elements of precursor-tRNAs. Cellular RNase Ps are ribonucleoproteins. Lineage: Bacteria; Bacillati; Chloroflexota. The record is from RNAcentral.
GGAGGCGGCCGGACGGCCGCGGACGCGAUCGUCGAAAGGCGGCGUUCGAGGAAAGUCCGAGCUCCAUAGAGCAGGCUCGCGGGUAACACCCGUCCGCCGUGAGGCGAGGACCAGCGCCACAGUGACGAUGCCCGCGCAAGCGGGAGUGAAACGGGCAAGCUCGAGCCGGAGCAAGACCGAAUAGGAGGGCGAAGCGACCUUCGGGUCGCGGCAGGUGGCUCGCUCAGCCCUCGGGUAGGUCGCCCAGAUGGAUGGCCGUCACCGGAUCUCGGUCCGGGACAGAACUCGGCUUACAGGCCGCUCUCCAGGA